Small nuclear RNA from Lycium barbarum (goji berry), 104 nucleotides. NCBI's taxonomy places the organism in Eukaryota, Viridiplantae, Streptophyta, Magnoliopsida, Solanales, Solanaceae. The record is from RefSeq and is a predicted model, not a curated record.
CUGAACUAUUGUUCCUAUCUGAUAAAAUUAGAACGAUAAAGAGAAGAUUAACACGACUCAUGUGCAAGAAUGAUACAUACAUUUGAGAAAUUGUCCAUUUCGUU